Ribosomal RNA from Piliocolobus tephrosceles (Ugandan red Colobus), 100 nucleotides. The record is from Ensembl. Lineage: Eukaryota; Metazoa; Chordata; Mammalia; Primates; Cercopithecidae.
GUUUUUGGCCUUACCGUCCUGAAUGUGCCUGAUCACGAAAGCUAAGCAGGGCUGGUUUGGUUAGUACUUAGAUGGGAGAAGAGAUAGCCAGCUGAGACUU